Molecule: ribosomal RNA, 627 nt
Filed under: uncultured bacterium
Lineage: Bacteria
Description: bacterial SSU rRNA
Rfam family: Bacterial small subunit ribosomal RNA
Source: RNAcentral
GAAAGGAGCGAUCCGGACAGGGAUGGGCAUGCGGCGCAUUAGCUGGUCGGCGGGGUAACGGCCCACCGAGGCGACGAUGCGUAGGGGUUCUGAGAGGAAGGCCCCCCACACUGGUACUGAGACACGGACCAGACUCCUACGGGAGGCAGCAGUGAGGAAUAUUGGUCAAUGGGCGGGAGCCUGAACCAGCCAAGCCGCGUGAGGGAAGAAGGUACAGCGUAUCGUAAACCUCUUUUGUCAGGGAACAAAGGCGGGGACUAGUCCCCGGAUGAGGGUACCUGAAGAAAAAGCAUCGGCUAACUCCGUGCCAGCAGCCGCGGUAAUACGGAGGAUGCGAGCGUUAUCCGGAUUUAUUGGGUUUAAAGGGUGCGCAGGCGGCCUGUUAAGUCAGCGGUAAAAGCCCGGGGCUCAACCCCGGCGAGCCGUUGAAACUGGCGGGCUGGAGUUGGAGAGAAGUACGCGGAAUGCGCGGUGUAGCGGUGAAAUGCUUAGAUAUCGCGCAGAACCCCGAUUGCGAAGGCAGCGUACCGGCUCCACACUGACGCUGAGGCACGAAAGCGUGGGUAUCGAACAGGAUUAGAUACCCUGGUAGUCCACGCAGUAAACGAUGAAUGCUUGCUGUCCGGG